Molecule: long non-coding RNA, 463 nt
Organism: Anneissia japonica
Lineage: Eukaryota; Metazoa; Echinodermata; Crinoidea; Comatulida; Comatulidae
Exons: 3
Source: RefSeq, a predicted model, not a curated record
UAUUAAUGGCCUGUACUGUUUGGUGUGUGAAAAGAGAUGGUAUGCAAGAUGGACGCAGCUGUGACGUAAAGCUCUUUCUAAUACCAUCAUCUUAAUUACUUGCUGUAAUGUUAAACCUCUCUCCUGGGAUUAAAAAGAUCUUAUUUGCCUUAGUUUGAGAUAUGGGCAGCAGCUACCUUGUUCCCACCUGCUUGGCCACCUGGUUCCACGAAACACCUGUAGUUACACUUGACCCAGGUACAGCACCUGUUAACUCAUAGACAGACUCGGCCAGAAGCUGUUCCUCCUCCGGACUCCAUUUGCCUGGAAUUUCGUAAAUUCUAUCAGAUUACCUUGAUGAGAACAGGGCUUGAGAAGACGAAAUUUAUCUUUGACUGAUGAAGCACUUCGACCCAUCUCUGUUCCAAUGGAUGCCCAGUCAUUACCAUACUGUUCGUGGAGACUGAAAGACAAAAUAUGUUUA